AAGGAGGAUUUAGUAGUAAAUUAA
This 24-nucleotide non-coding RNA is filed under the name Cricetulus griseus (Chinese hamster). The record is from RNAcentral. Lineage: Eukaryota; Metazoa; Chordata; Mammalia; Rodentia; Cricetidae. RNAcentral also lists the same sequence under 1 other name.